UUGGCUGUGAAAAAUACUAAC
Molecule: non-coding RNA, 21 nt
Organism: Caenorhabditis elegans
Lineage: Eukaryota; Metazoa; Nematoda; Chromadorea; Rhabditida; Rhabditidae
Source: Ensembl